UUGAUGAUGCCAUCUGUGGUGAGUGCGUCUCCUUCUCCACUGUAAAAUAUUUGCUUUAAAUUGUCAGCAUAAUAAAUCGUCAUCUGUUCCAGGUUCGGAAGGCUUGGAGACAUGGAGACAGGGAAGACAUAUUCCAGUUUACCACACCGUUCUAUGAAGAUAUUUUUUAAUUGUGGGAAGCAAGGAGACUCUGGAAUUAUUUCCCUUUCACCAUCCUCUUCUCUGAUAAUAUGCUUCAAUUCACCGCAUUCACUUAUCUCAAGUAUUUCUAGCUUUGGCAGACUUCGAGCGAGAGACGGUGUGAGGAUAAAUAUCAGUUUGUCGAGAGAAUUCAAAUACAGAUGAGCAAGACUUUGGAGGCUGAUAUGUCUGGUGGGCCCCUUCCAAAUGCAUUUGAGCUCAGGUAAACGUGACAGCCGUAACCCUGUUAAAGAUGACAGAAGCGGCAGCUCCUUCUCCUCCCUACUUCCUUCAUCAGGCUCACCUAAUUCAAAUACCUCUUCCAAUGAUUUGCAGCCGUUAAUGUUCACACUGCUUAGAUUUUUCACAGCUCGCAGCAAUUUUGCUGGAAACGGAGUGCGAACAUCCCCACAAUCGUCCACUGCUACAGAUUUUAAUCUUUGUAAGAAGCCGUUUUGCUGCACAUGGACGGCCAUCUUAUCAGAGAACAAUAUUAUAUUUUUUCACUCUCAUGAAAACAAUUUAUAUGAUGUAUAAAUAGGAGAAAAAAAAAAUAAAAAACAGGAUUAAAUACUUCUUAGAGAUUACAUAUUAUUGUUUCAGUUUUUUUUUUUUUCUUAAUUGGAGAUAAGUUGAAUAAUAAUUAGAUUUUUGCGAAAAAAGGGUUAAUACAACUCCUAAUAUAAUAUAAAUUACGUAAACCAUGAGGCAGUUAAAUCUAACAGAAAAUAUAUUUCAAAUGAGGCAGUUAAAUCUAACAGAUAAUAUGUUCUUCCAUAUGAUUAAUUUUUAAUAACGCAGACAACAAUGAGGCAGUUAAGUUUCUUAUAUUUAUAUAUGUUUAGAUAAAAAUAAAAAUGAGCAUUUAUCAAUUACUUUACUUUUAGAAAUUGGGAGGAAGAAAGAAUAAAUUAUCGCAAUUGACAAUUUAAAUUAAGUGGAGAAAUAUAAAUUACGUACUUGUAGCUGUGCCAACCAAUUACCCACUUCUUCGUGGCCUUUAAUGUUUAGAUUCUGCAAAGAAGGCAAUUGAAAAUCAAAAUUCCUUGGACCUAUAAAGCCGUAAUUUGAUCGGAGCCCAAGAGACAAUUCUCUUAGUUGAGGGAACUUGAUGAUGCCAUCUGUGGUGAGUGCAUCUCCUUCUCCACUGUAAAAUAUUUGCUUUAAAUUGUCAGCAUAAUAAAUCGUCAUCUGUUCCAGGUUCGGAAGGCUUGGAGACAUGGAGACAGGGAAGACAUAUUCCAGUUUACCACACCGUUGUAUGAAGAUAUUUUUUAAUUGUGGGAAGCAAGGAGACUCUGGAAUUAUUUCCCUUUCACCAUCCUCUUCUCUUAUAAUAUGCUUCAAUU
This 1529-nucleotide long non-coding RNA is filed under the name Populus trichocarpa (black cottonwood). RNAcentral describes it as "long non-coding RNA (PTRI_LNC000444)". Lineage: Eukaryota; Viridiplantae; Streptophyta; Magnoliopsida; Malpighiales; Salicaceae. The record is from RNAcentral.